GCUCCGGCGAUUCAAUCUUCAUGCGAGGAGUCGAGGCUGAUCGAGGCCAUCGUCGGUGCUGCGUUGUGGGCUGAAGGAGGAGGAAAGACUGGUGCAGAUGAGGCCCUAUUGGAGGAGGUAUCCAGGUACUCUCUUCCCGAAAACUGUUCUCUUCUUAGUUUCGGGGAUCGGGGUCUUCUUUCUUCUUCUUCUUUUUUCUGCGGGGAAAAAAAUGAGGACGUUAUGGCUGUUCGGGACUUGGUGGCACUCGAGGGGCCAUAUGUGGUGAACGAAGAAGGGAGGGCUGACCCGUUGAGAAUCAUUGAGGCUGAUGGGAGGGAGAGGGAAAUUUCUUUCGACAUGGAGAAGAAUAUUAAGGAGAGUAAGGGGGGAGAAAUGACGGUAGAAGUUACGGGAAGAGUUUCGGAGGAAGAUAAUAGAAGUGUGCUGGGCUCGUGGAUGAAUGGUGAUUUUAUAAUCUUUGUAAGUGUCUGGGUAUGCCUACGGAGGGUUUUGAGGGGGAAAUUUUAUUGUUAUUAAGAAGAAUGGAAGAGUGAAAGAAUUUUAAGGGUGGUGUGGCAGGAAAAAAAAGGAAGGUUCAAAAGGUCUCCAAGUCAGAGAGAGAAUUGAAAAAACUGGAGUGUUCAGUGAAUUAUUGUGGGACUAGAAAGAGUGCGGGGUUGCUUCAGAUUGCUAACUGAAGUUUGGGUUUGUUGGUCCAGUGAGGGGUGAGGGGAUUAUUAAGAUGGAUGUUAUGAAAUUAAGAGUCUUGUCGUGGAAUGUUAGAGGGGCUAAUGAUAGUGAGAAAAGAAAGGUGAUUAAGGCGUUGAUCAAGAGUCAAAAGGUGGAUGUAGUGUGUUUACAAGAGACCAAAAUGCAGGAGAUGUCAAGGAUGAUAGUUAGAAGCCUCGGAGUGGGAAGAUGUCUGGAUUGGAAGGUGUUAAAUUCGAGGGGUUCUUCUGGCGGUGUGCUGGUGUUCUGGGAUAAGAGGGUGCUGCAUUUAUUGGAAGCGGAAGUGGGGAACUUUUCUGUGUCUUGCAGAUUCAAAAAUUGUGAGGACGACUUUUGUUGGUUAUUCUCUGGAGUUUAUGGGCCUUCAUUGAUGAAAGAGAGGGAAGAUUUUUGGGCGGAAUUAGGAGCGGUUAGGGGUCUAUGGAGUGAUCCUUGGUGUGUGGCAGGGGAUUUCAAUGUUGUGAGAUUCCCUGUGGAGAGCAGUAGGGGAGGCAGAUUAUCUGCUUCAAUGAGGAGAUUUUUCGGAGAUUAUGGAGGAUUUAGAGUUGAGGGACCUGCCUUUGCAAGGAGGCUCUUUCACCUGGAAGGGAGGAUUGAAUAAUCAAUCCCAUUCAAGGCUUGAUCGGUUUCUGAUUUCGAAUGAAUGGGAGGAUCAUUUCUCUGGGUCUAUGCAGUAUGUCCUUCCUAAGCCGACUUCGGAUCAUUUUCCAAUUCUUCUAGACGGGGGAGGAGUAAGGAGUGGUCCGAUGCCGUUCAGGUUUGAGAAUAUGUGGUUGAAGGAAGAGGGGUUCAAAGAAAAAAUGCAGGGGUGGUGGGUGGGGCUCAAUUUUAGUGGGUCUGCGAGCUAUGUGUUGGUUUCUAAAUUGAAAGCUUUGAAGUCUCUGUUGAGAGAUUGGAAUAAGCUGGAGUUUGGGAAAGUGGAGGUCAAUAAGGUUUUGGCUUUGAGUCAGGUGGAUUUUUGGGACAAAAUGGAGUUAUCUCGGACUCUCUCUGUUCAGGAGGUGGACGCAAGGAGAGGAGCUAAAGAGGAUUUUAAGAAGUGGGCUUUGAUGAAAGAGAUAUCUUGGAGACAAAAAUCAAGGGAAGUCUGGUUGAGAGAGGGGGACAGGAAUACUAAGUUCUUCCACAAGAUGGCUAACGCUCACAGGAGGGGGAAUAUGUUAUCCCGGGUCAAAAUAAAUGGUGUUUGGUUAACAAAGGAGAAUGAGGUUAAAGAGGGGGUGGUGAAUGAGUUUAAAGCUAUGUUGUCUUCUGCUGGAGGUUGGAGACCCAGCUUAAGGGGAUUGUCUUUUGAGAGAUUGGAGGCGGUGGAUGCAGCCAGUUUGGAGGAGCCGUUUUCGGAGCAAGAGGUGAUGGAAGCGCUUAAAGGUUUUUGUGGGGAUAAAGCUCCCGGGCCUGAUGGUUUUUCUAUGGCCUUUUGGCAAUCUUCUUGGGAGUUUGUGAAAGAGGAGGUCUUGGGGUUUUUUAGGGAGUUCCAUAACCAUGGCAGGUUUGUUAAAAGUCUUAAUGCCACCUUUAUUGUUUUGAUUCCAAAGAAAGGAGGGACAGAAGAUUUAAGGGAUUUUAGGCCUAUCAGCUUGGUGGGAGGUCUGUAUAAGUGGUUGGCUAAAGUUUUAGCUAAUAGAUUAAAGAGGGUGGUGGGGAAGGUGGUCUCCAAGGCUCAAAAUGCUUUCGUGCAAGGAAGGCAAAUUCUAGAUGCUGUUCCGGUGGCUAAUGAGGUUUUAGACUCGGUUUUAAAAAACAAGGAAGAGGUUGUGAUGUGUAAGCUGGACAUUGAGAAAGCGUAUGACCAUGUGGAAUGGUCCUUUUUGUUUUCAGUCAUGAAGAAGAUGGGGUUUGGGGAAAAAUGGAUUAGAUGGAUGAAGUGGUGUAUCUCCACUGUUAGCUUCUCCGUUUUGGUGAAUGGGUCUUCCUCAGGUUUUUUUCAAAGCUCUAGAGGUUUAAGGCAAGGGGAUCCUCUCUCUCUGUAUCUUUUUGUGUUGGUGAUGGAAGCUUUUAGUAGUCUCCUAAGGAAAACAGUAGCUGGGGGCUUUGUGUCUGCUUGUAAGGCAAGAAGUAGGGGUGGUGAGGGAGUUAAUGUGUCACACCUUUUGUUUGCUGAUGACACUUUGGUUUUCUGUGGAGCUUCCAAGGUGCAAUUGCUGCAUUUAAAUUGGAUUUUAAUGUGGUUUGAAGCCAUGUCGGGCUUGAGAAUUAAUCUUGACAAAAGUGAGCUUAUUCCGGUGGGUUGUGUGAAUAAUGUAGAGGAGUUGGCUGCAGCUAUUGGUUGUAAGGUUGGAAGUCUCCCAACCUCUUAUUUGGGCUUGCCUUUAGGUGCGCAGUAUAGGUCGCGGGCUGUUUGGGACGGCAUGGAGGAGAGAAUGAGGAAAAAAUUGGCUAGAUGGAAGAGCCAAUACAUAUCCAAAGGAGGCAUGAUUACUUUGAUCCGGAGUACUCUAGCUAAUAUGCCCAUUUACUUUAUGUCCAUGCUCUCUAUGCCUAGAAAAGUCAGACUGAGGUUAGAACGGAUUCAGAGGGAGUUCUUAUGGGGAGGUGGGGCCCUUGAGAGGAAGAUUCAUCUUGUUAAGUGGGAGCUGGUUUGUCUUGAGAAGGAUAAUGGGGGGUUGGGGGUCAAGAGUCUUUCUAUCCUCAAUAAGACUCUUUUAUGUAAAUGGAGUUGGAGAUUUGCUAUGGAAAGAGAGGCUUUUUGGAACCAAGUGAUUAGGGGAAAAUAUGGGGAGGAGCAAGGGGGUUGAAGUUCAAAGGAAGCAAGGGGGGAGACGCAUGGUGUGGGAUUGUGGAAAACUCUUAGGAAAGAAUGGGAAGUUGUGAAAAGUAGGCUUGUUUUCGUUGUGGGGAAUGGGAAAAGGAUAAAAUUCUGGAAAGACAUUUGGUGUGGGGAUGAACCCCUUUGUGUUUCUUUUCCUUCUCUAUUUGCAUUGGUUGUUUCCAAGGAUGCUUGGGUUAAGGAUGUUUGGAGGUGCAAUGAGGGUGGGGGAAGUUGGAGCCCGUUGUUUUCUAGACCGUUUAAUGAUUGGGAGUUGGAAGAGGUGUGCAGUUUUUUUGUGGCCUUAAAUAGGAAGCAAAUUCAGCAAGGGGUGGAUGAUAGGGUGAUUUGGAGAGAGACUAAUUGUGGGAAGUUUUCGGUUAAGUCUCUCUACAAAUCAUUAGUAUCAGGCCAUCCAAUCUCCUUCCCAUCGUCGGCUAUUUGGAAAGUUACGGCGCAGCCUAGAGUGAGUUUUUUUGGGUGGGAAACAACGUGGGGAAAGGCUCUCACCUUGGAUCAGCUUCAAAGGAGAGGUUGGGCUCUAGCGAACAGAUGUUACCUUUGUCAAAGACAUGAAGAAUCAAUUGAUCACAUUCUUCUUCAUUGUGAUAAGGUUAGAACUCUUUGGGUGCUGCUCUACUCAAUGUUUGGGGUACAGUGGGUGCUGCCUGCCACGGUUAAGGAGACGCU
Molecule: long non-coding RNA, 4147 nt
Filed under: Vitis vinifera (wine grape)
Lineage: Eukaryota; Viridiplantae; Streptophyta; Magnoliopsida; Vitales; Vitaceae
Description: long non-coding RNA (VVIN_LNC003380)
Source: RNAcentral